This 2663-nucleotide long non-coding RNA is filed under the name Mytilus galloprovincialis (Mediterranean mussel). The record is from RNAcentral. Lineage: Eukaryota; Metazoa; Mollusca; Bivalvia; Mytilida; Mytilidae.
UAUUAAGUGGAUGUUGUUUUUGGUAUGUGUCUGACCCGAGUCCGGAACCUGUAAUUAAGUGGAUGUUGUUUUUGGUAUGUGUCUGAUCCGAACUUUCUACCAUUAUAUUGCCAAGUUUGCUAUCAUCAAGAACUUUCUACCAUUAUAUUGCCAAGUUUGCUAUCAUCAAGAACUUUCUACCAUUAUACUGCCAUGUUCAACACUAACAAACGUAACACAACCAACUUUAAUUCAAACAUUUUUUUAUUUCUUGUCAAUAACAAUAACAACAAUAGAAACACUGAUUACACGUCAUAAUCUGGUAUACAGCAGGGAUACAGUACACAUCAUAAUCUAGUAUACAGCAGGGAUACAGUAGCACUUGUCAAUAACUCAUCAUGUGUGUGGAUUUUAUGAAGAUGUCAAUGAUGUGUGUAAACUGAUGAUACAUGAUGGAUGAAAAGUCUGAUAAUAUUUUUUUUGAAAAAAUUAUUAAAAAAUGCUUACAAAAGCAAUUAAUACAUAAUUGGACAGCAUUUUUUGUCUGUAUAAACAUGAACAAUAGGUGACAAGUAAACAGUCUAUGGGAAAAGACAAGUGUAUGGAUUAACGGGUGGGAAAAAAGCAAAUAAAGCAAAACAUUAAAAACCAAAAAAGGGACCUGUCGACCAUCAGCACAAAGCUUCAAUUUUUUAAAAUGUUCUUGAAGAUAUUUUACAAUAUUUUAUGUGAAAUGUUGCUUUAGAAGUAUUGUAUACUCAUUUCUAAUUCAUUUCAUUUAAUGAAUGACAGUAAAAGGGGAAUAACUCUUGUAUUCCUCAUUCUUACUGGUACAUGAUAUAUCUACACGUUUCAAUCUAUGUACAAUUCAACACUAAUGUAAUACAUCAAAAAUCAAAACAGUUAUCAAAUUUAAAAAAAAAACAAACAAAAUAAAUGGAUUAUAGUUAAACAAAAAAAAUAAUCAAAAAUACCAUUUCAACCAUGCCACUCUACUAUAAUGGUAAAAAACAUUUUAUAUUUUAACACAACUUUUGCUAGGAACUUACAACAUAUAUCUGUUUAAACACAACUUAAAUAUCACCAGGAAUUUUAAAGGACUAGACAUAUGAUAAAUAGACUUGCAAAAAUUGAACCAACAUGACAAUUUUUACACAUGAUAAAUGAUGUGACACAAAUUUGCAUAAAUGUACAUGUAAUAAGCUAGUAUUUCUUAACUUAAUGCGCUGUCUUUGAUUAAUCUAUGUUGAGGACCAAUCUUUCACAACUAAUGUUCAUGUUCUAAGGCCAUAAUAAAUAAUAGGUUUGUUUGCCGAAACGCUACCUACCCAGAAAAAAGCUGCCUACUCAAAUUCUUUUAUUGUCCUGAUUUGAAGAAGUUUUUUUUUUAAUCAAAUAGGCAUGAAGACUAAUAAACAUCUGAUACUUCAAUUUCUUUUCUACCUACCUACCCACUGUCUCAACCUUUGGGUAGGGUUUGGGUAAACCAAAAUAUUUUAAGUGUGGCCUAAGCUACUACUUCUUAAUUUUUUGUUUGUAAAGACUUUGAUUAAUUAAUGGUGAGGACUUAAUUUCUACUGACUAAUGUACAUAAACUAAGCUACUAUUUCUUAACUUUAUGCUCUGUCUUUGAUUAUUAAAUGGUGACGAAAUGCAGUGGCAGAUCCAGGGAAAAGGGGGAGGGUGUGUGUUCAGGGGUUUGACACCCCCUCUUUAUCUUGGCGAUCAAUACAUUUGAAUGGGGACAAAUGAUUGGAACCCCCUUUUAAAAAUGACUGGAUCUGCCCCUGAAUUGGUCAAUAUAAACUUGCUACGCUACUUUUUCAUACUUAAAAGUAUGCUCCGACUUUGAUUAUUAAAUGGUGGCGAGCACUAGUAACAAAUUGCAGUGGCAGAUCCAAGGAAAAAGGGGGGGGGGGGUUCAGGGGUUUGGAACCCCCUCUUUAUCUUGGCGAUCAAUACAUUUUAAUGGGGACAUAUGAUUGGAACCCCCUUUUAAAAAUGACUAGAUCUGCCCCUGAAUUGGUAAAUAUAAACUUGCUACACUACUUUUUCAUACUUAAAGUAUGCUCCGACUUUGAUUAUUCAAUCUUGAGGAGCAUUUGUUAAUGAUUGGUCAGGAUAAAGUUUACGUUAGGUAAAUAUGUCUGAUUGAACAUUAUACCAUGUAACUUUAAGUAUAUAAAGUUCAGUUUGGAAGCAUUAGCAAAAAGUUUGACUAGGUCUAUCUCACUAUGUCUAUCUCAUGGUUAUGACCAGACUGCAAUGUUGAAUUCUUGCACAAAGUCAUGCAGCCGAAUAUUUUUUAUUAAAGUACUCAACAUGCAUUAACCAAAAAUAUCUCAUGCCUGUCUUUCAGAUUCAAACAAAACUUCAAUAAGCUACGAAAAUGUCAAUUAAUAUUGUAAUGAUUUUAUGGUUAAUGGGUCCUGCCUGGAAAAAUUAUGCAUGCUUUAUGUAAAAAGAAGGAAUUAAUGUACAUUUUUGUAGCUCUACACCGGUAAAUCAUGCUGUAAGAACAUUAAAUAUUUCAUUUCAAUGUAAAACAUUUGUUUUUGUAUAUAUAAAUGCAAUGCUGCCCAUCAAAGGUCGUUAAUUAGGCAGCAACCAUUUGAUUUUCGGGGGGGGGGCUAUGGUUUUUUUUUCUGUACAAACUUUUUUUUUCGCCUGUGGCGAAAAACAAU